This 53-nucleotide transfer RNA is filed under the name Erebia palarica. RNAcentral's name for it is "partial tRNA-Met". Lineage: Eukaryota; Metazoa; Arthropoda; Insecta; Lepidoptera; Nymphalidae. The record is from RNAcentral.
UUAAAAAUAAGCUAAAUAAAGCUUUUGGGCUCAUACCUCAAAUAUAAAGGAUA